GGAUGCGAUCAUACCAGCACUAAAGCACUAGAUCCCAUCAGAACUCCGAAGUUAAGCGUGCUUGGGCGAGAGUAGUACUAGGAUGGGUGACCUCCUGGGAAGUCCUCGUGUUGCAUUCC
This 119-nucleotide ribosomal RNA is filed under the name Triticum aestivum (bread wheat). The record is from RNAcentral. Lineage: Eukaryota; Viridiplantae; Streptophyta; Magnoliopsida; Poales; Poaceae.